RNAcentral lists this ribosomal RNA (1051 nucleotides) under uncultured bacterium. RNAcentral describes it as "bacterial SSU rRNA". It matches the Rfam family "Bacterial small subunit ribosomal RNA", at positions 8 to 1056 of the family's 1533-position model. The record is from RNAcentral.
AGAGUUUGAUCAUGGCUCAGAAUGAACGCUGGCGGCGUGCUUUACACAUGCAAGUCGAGCGAGGCGGCCCGCAAGGGUCAGUCGAGCGGCGAACGGGUGAGUAACGCGUGGAUAACCUGCCCUGAGGUGGGGAAUAACCCGGGGAAACUCGGGCUAAUACCGCAUGAAACCGAGAGGUCAAAGCGGGGUCGCAAGAUCUCGCGCCACAGGAGGGGUCCGCGUCCGAUUAGCUGGUUGGUGGGGUAAAGGCCUACUAAGGCGACGAUCGGUAGCCGGCCUGAGAGGGUGAUCGGCCACACUGGAACUGAGACACGGUCCAGACUCCUACGGGAGGCAGCAGUGGGGAAUUUUGCGCAAUGGGCUAACGCCUGACGCAGCAACGCCGCGUGGAGGAUGAAGGUCUUUGGAUUGUAAACUCCUGUCAGCGGGGAAAAAGGGACUCGACCUCAUACGUCGGGGACUUGAUUGUACCCGCAGAGGAAGCCCCGGCUAACUCUGUGCCAGCAGCCGCGGUAAUACAGAGGGGGCAAGCGUUAUUCGGAAUUAUUGGGCGUAAAGGGCGCGUAGGCGGCUUUGCAAGUGACGGGUGAAAUCCCUCGGCUUAACCGAGGAACUGCCUGUCAGACUGUGAGGCUUGGGACCGGGAGAGGUGAGUGGAAUUCCCAGUGUAGCGGUGAAAUGCGUAGAUAUUGGGAGGAACACCAGUGGCGAAGGCGGCUCACUGGACCGGAACUGACGCUGAGGCGCGAAAGCGUGGGGGAGCAAACAGGAUUAGAUACCCUGGUAGUCCACGCCGUAAACGAUGAGUGCUUGGUGUAGCGGGUAUCGACCCCUGCUGUGCCGAAGUCAACACAUUAAGCACUCCGCCUGGGGAGUACGGUCGCAAGACUGAAACUCAAAGGAAUUGACGGGGGCCCGCACAAGCGGUGGAGCAUGUGGUUUAAUUCGAAGCAACGCGCAGAACCUUACCUGGUUUGAACUGCAGUGGAAAGGGUCAGAGAUGACUUCCUCUCUUCGGAGGCCGCUGUAGAGGUGCUGCAUGGCUGUCGUC